RNAcentral lists this ribosomal RNA (1968 nucleotides) under Escherichia coli. RNAcentral's name for it is "partial 23S ribosomal RNA". It matches the Rfam family "Bacterial large subunit ribosomal RNA", at positions 165 to 2157 of the family's 2925-position model. The record is from RNAcentral. Lineage: Bacteria; Pseudomonadati; Pseudomonadota; Gammaproteobacteria; Enterobacterales; Enterobacteriaceae.
CAUAGGUUAAUGAGGCGAACCGGGGGAACUGAAACAUCUAAGUACCCCGAGGAAAAGAAAUCAACCGAGAUUCCCCCAGUAGCGGCGAGCGAACGGGGAGCAGCCCAGAGCCUGAAUCAGUAUGUGUGUUAGUGGAAGCGUCUGGAAAGGCGCGCGAUACAGGGUGACAGCCCCGUACACAAAAAUGCACAUGCUGUGAGCUCGAUGAGUAGGGCGGGACACGUGGUAUCCUGUCUGAAUAUGGGGGGACCAUCCUCCAAGGCUAAAUACUCCUGACUGACCGAUAGUGAACCAGUACCGUGAGGGAAAGGCGAAAAGAACCCCGGCGAGGGGAGUGAAAAAGAACCUGAAACCGUGUACGUACAAGCAGUGGGAGCUCGCUUAGGCGUGUGACUGCGUACCUUUUGUAUAAUGGGUCAGCGACUUAUAUUCUGUAGCAAGGUUAACCGAAUAGGGGAGCCGAAGGGAAACCGAGUCUUAACUGGGCGUUAAGUUGCAGGGUAUAGACCCGAAACCCGGUGAUCUAGCCAUGGGCAGGUUGAAGGUUGGGUAACACUAACUGGAGGACCGAACCGACUAAUGUUGAAAAAUUAGCGGAUGACUUGUGGCUGGGGGUGAAAGGCCAAUCAAACCGGGAGAUAGCUGGUUCUCCCCGAAAGCUAUUUAGGUAGCGCCUCGUGAAUUCAUCUCCGGGGGUAGAGCACUGUUUCGGCAAGGGGGUCAUCCCGACUUACCAACCCGAUGCAAACUGCGAAUACCGGAGAAUGUUAUCACGGGAGACACACGGCGGGUGCUAACGUCCGUCGUGAAGAGGGAAACAACCCAGACCGCCAGCUAAGGUCCCAAAGUCAUGGUUAAGUGGGAAACGAUGUGGGAAGGCCCAGACAGCCAGGAUGUUGGCUUAGAAGCAGCCAUCAUUUAAAGAAAGCGUAAUAGCUCACUGGUCGAGUCGGCCUGCGCGGAAGAUGUAACGGGGCUAAACCAUGCACCGAAGCUGCGGCAGCGACGCUUAUGCGUUGUUGGGUAGGGGAGCGUUCUGUAAGCCUGCGAAGGUGUGCUGUGAGGCAUGCUGGAGGUAUCAGAAGUGCGAAUGCUGACAUAAGUAACGAUAAAGCGGGUGAAAAGCCCGCUCGCCGGAAGACCAAGGGUUCCUGUCCAACGUUAAUCGGGGCAGGGUGAGUCGACCCCUAAGGCGAGGCCGAAAGGCGUAGUCGAUGGGAAACAGGUUAAUAUUCCUGUACUUGGUGUUACUGCGAAGGGGGGACGGAGAAGGCUAUGUUGGCCGGGCGACGGUUGUCCCGGUUUAAGCGUGUAGGCUGGUUUUCCAGGCAAAUCCGGAAAAUCAAGGCUGAGGCGUGAUGACGAGGCACUACGGUGCUGAAGCAACAAAUGCCCUGCUUCCAGGAAAAGCCUCUAAGCAUCAGGUAACAUCAAAUCGUACCCCAAACCGACACAGGUGGUCAGGUAGAGAAUACCAAGGCGCUUGAGAGAACUCGGGUGAAGGAACUAGGCAAAAUGGUGCCGUAACUUCGGGAGAAGGCACGCUGAUAUGUAGGUGAAGUCCCUCGCGGAUGGAGCUGAAAUCAGUCGAAGAUACCAGCUGGCUGCAACUGUUUAUUAAAAACACAGCACUGUGCAAACACGAAAGUGGACGUAUACGGUGUGACGCCUGCCCGGUGCCGGAAGGUUAAUUGAUGGGGUUAGCGCAAGCGAAGCUCUUGAUCGAAGCCCCGGUAAACGGCGGCCGUAACUAUAACGGUCCUAAGGUAGCGAAAUUCCUUGUCGGGUAAGUUCCGACCUGCACGAAUGGCGUAAUGAUGGCCAGGCUGUCUCCACCCGAGACUCAGUGAAAUUGAACUCGCUGUGAAGAUGCAGUGUACCCGCGGCAAGACGGAAAGACCCCGUGAACCUUUACUAUAGCUUGACACUGAACAUUGAGCCUUGAUGUGUAGGAUAGGUGGGAGGCUU